Molecule: small RNA, 1423 nt
Filed under: Pongo abelii (Sumatran orangutan)
Lineage: Eukaryota; Metazoa; Chordata; Mammalia; Primates; Hominidae
Description: retained intron
Source: RNAcentral
AGUAGAGACGGAAUUUUGCCAUGUUGCCCAGGCUGGUCUCGAACUCCCGGACUCAAGCGAUCCUCCCGCCUUGGCCUCCCAAAAUGCUGGAAUUAUAAGCAUGAGCCACUGUGUCCAGUGACAGUAGGCCUUUAGUUGGCUCAGUGCCACAUUGCUUUUUGAAUAAAUCCUGCCUGUGUGACCUUUAAAAUUCUGAGAGAGAGAAACAUAUAUAUGGAAGGAGCUCAGAAUUACAGUUGAUUGGGCUUGGUCAUAAGCAUCCUUGCGGAGGCAGUACCUUUCCAGAUCCCUCUUUCUCAAAUAGUUGGAGUGCAGUAUUGCUAUUUCAUGGGCAUUUUGAGACAAAAGCUAGCUCUGAUUUAACUGGAAUCAAGUCGUGCAAGUCUUUAAAGUUGAAGCUUUAGAAAAAUUGCGUCAUUUUUGGCUGCAUUGCAUUAGCUAGCCUGCAUGUUCAGCAGCUGUGGAAGCUGUUACAAAUUGCUACGUGUUAAGAACAAGUCUAGUUGUGAGGCAGAAGCUCUGCUGUGGCUGUGCCUUGUGCCAUUACCUGCCUUUGACAAGCCCAGGGACAGCAGUGCUUUGCAUGUCCUCAUGUUGAACUCUCACUUGCAGGUAGUUACCUUAGAAUGCCAAAUAUGCUGUCAGGUUGAUCUAGUUAUAAAAGGCUCAUAUCACAGACAUUUAUAUUGAACUGUAUGUUAUUAUUAAUAAGGAAUUCUUAUGAUAGCUAGAAAUCACAUGCUUUGGAACUAAAAAUAGAGGACUGCCUCUCACAUUCCCUCCCUGGGCCUGUGCUGCGUCGUCGCGCUGCGUAUUUGGAUGCUAUCCUUCGGAACGCCACACUCGAGUGAUGUUGCUCAGGCAAUGUCUGACCUUGGAUCUGGAGUGGGAGAGCAGGAUGGGGGACUGAUUGGUGCCGAAGAGAAAGUGAUUAACAGUAAGAAUAAAGUGGAUGAAAACAUGGUCAUUGACGAGACUCUGGACGUUAAGGAAAUGAUUUUCAAUGCCGAGAGAGUUGGAGGCCUUGAGGAAGAGCGGGAAUCCGUGGGCCCACUGCGGGAGGACUUCAGUCUGAGUAGCAGUGCCCUCAUUGGCCUGCUGGUCAUCGCAGUGGCCAUUGCCACGGUCAUCGUCAUCAGCCUGGUGAUGCUGAGGAAGAGGCAGUAUGGCACCAUCAGCCACGGGAUCGUGGAGGUUGAUCCAAUGCUCACCCCAGAAGAGCGUCACCUGAACAAGAUGCAGAACCAUGGCUAUGAGAACCCCACCUACAAAUACCUGGAGCAGAUGCAGAUUUAGGUGGCAUGGAGUGUGGCAGCCCUGGCGGAGGGGUGCAGGCGGGCUGGAAGAUCCCACGAUUCCGAUCGACUGCCAAGCGGCAGCUGCUGCCAGGGGCUGCGUCUGACAUCCUGACCUCCUGGACUGU